GGGCGAUUAGCUCAGCUGGUUCAGAGCACCUGCCUUACAAGCAGGGGGUCGGCGGUUCGAAUCCGUCAUCGCCCA
This 75-nucleotide transfer RNA is filed under the name Bacteroidota bacterium. RNAcentral's name for it is "Bacteroidetes bacterium tRNA-Val". It matches the Rfam family "tRNA". From Rfam's summary of the family: Transfer RNA (tRNA) molecules are approximately 80 nucleotides in length. Lineage: Bacteria; Pseudomonadati; Bacteroidota. RNAcentral also lists the same sequence under 2 other names. The record is from RNAcentral.